UGGUGAAUGUAUCUGCCCACAGGGAUGA
Molecule: non-coding RNA, 28 nt
Filed under: Homo sapiens (human)
Lineage: Eukaryota; Metazoa; Chordata; Mammalia; Primates; Hominidae
Source: RNAcentral